GAUGAACGCUGGCGGCGUGCCUAAUACAUGCAAGUCGAGCGAACAGACGAGGAGCUUGCUCCUCUGACGUUAGCGGCGGACGGGUGAGUAACACGUGGAUAACCUACCUAUAAGACUGGGAUAACUUCGGGAAACCGGAGCUAAUACCGGAUAAUAUAUUGAACCGCAUGGUUCAAUAGUGAAAGACGGUUUUGCUGUCACUUAUAGAUGGAUCCGUGCCGCAUUAGCUAGUUGGUAAGGUAACGGCUUACCAAGGCGACGAUGCGUAGCCGACCUGAGAGGGUGAUCGGCCACACUGGAACUGAGACACGGUCCAGACUCCUACGGGAGGCAGCAGUAGGGAAACUUCCGCAAUGGGCGAAAGCCUGACGGAGCAACGCCGCGUGAGUGAUGAAGGUCUUCGGAUCGUAAAACUCUGUUAUUAGGGAAGAACAAAUGUGUAAGUAACUAUGCACGUCUUGACGGUACCUAAUCAGAAAGCCACGGCUAACUACGUG
This 497-nucleotide ribosomal RNA is filed under the name uncultured bacterium. RNAcentral's name for it is "partial 16S ribosomal RNA". It matches the Rfam family "Bacterial small subunit ribosomal RNA", at positions 28 to 507 of the family's 1533-position model. The record is from RNAcentral.